AUGAUGUUUUAUUAUUUUUUAACUAUGUAAAGUUGUUCCUUCGCAGAUUGUUUUAGGCCUGGCAUCAAAACUCUUUAUUUUAUAACAGAGAGUUUCAUAUUUUAUUGUGUUACCACAAUGCCAAACCGGAAUAAUUUUUAAUUAGGAGCAAAAAGAAUGAUAAAGGAUUUUGGAGGAUUCAUUAUUACAUGAAAUAUUUAGUUCAUCUCAUAUUUGUGGGCUUAAAUGUAAAUUAAAACUUAACAGUUUAUUUUAAAUGUGUUACUUGCUGUAUGUGUGGGUGUGUGUGUGUAACAAUACAUACUUGAAAUAUAACUAAAUCAUAUGAGUUUUGAUACGCAACGAAGCCUCCUUUAAGCGAACAUAUUAAUGAAACAGUCUGUUUUCGCUAAUAGCGGCGUCUAUUAGCUAUUAGUUGCUAUUCAACUGUUAAUUGCUUUAAAAUUCAUACAGCAUAUACAUUGCUCUUUGUAAACUGCAAGUUUAUCUGAAAGGCUUAUAAACAUUUUUGUAGUCAGCCAUAGAAGAAGAGAUAGAAGAAAAAUCUCAAAUACCCACUUAUCUUUAGCCAGAACAUAAAAACCAUUUUGUGUCGCUCCUAUAAGGUUUUUACUAUAAGAGCAACAUAAGCUUCCGUGCUCGCUAAAUAAUAAAUUCCCAAUGAUAUAAAAGUAAAACUAUUAUAUAGCAAUUUAAAAUUCACUCUGAGAAUUGUACAAAGACUCGAAACAGAUUUUGCCUGUUUUAAAAAAAAUUAA
Molecule: long non-coding RNA, 758 nt
Organism: Glossina fuscipes
Lineage: Eukaryota; Metazoa; Arthropoda; Insecta; Diptera; Glossinidae
Exons: 2
Source: RefSeq, a predicted model, not a curated record